CUCGACUGACUGCUGCUUCCACAGGAAGUGCACGUGGGUGGCAAACAGCCCCUCAGGAUAACCCUGGCUGACACACAGCACUGCAACCAGAGAUCCCAUCAUAAGCUGGAGAAAGCUGUAAGGUACACCUGUAGAAAAAGGAAAGACUCGGGUAUUUGUCAUGGAGAUCCAAGAGACCAGAAGCUCAGUGAACCUGGAUGUUCUUACCCAUAAGCCCAGCACAGGAACCACUAGACACACAGCCUCCACAUUUUGUCCACCCUACGGAACUGCAGAACAUCACCUCUCCAGGUGCUCCCCAUCACCCUGCAAGGAUAGCAGCCUGCAGAGACAUUUACAGCCAGAGCUGAUCCCACCUGUGCUUGCUUGAUCCUGCCUGGCCAUAGCAGCCUUUUGCUGGAAGCUCACUACCCCAAGAUGCAGGGAACGCCAGGACACAAGGAAGCUGGCCAGUAACCCAAGCCUACCCUGGGACUGUGUACAAACAGAUCUGGCAAUGAGCCUGGCCUCCCACGAGCACCGGGGAGAAACAGCACGAUGAGCAAAUGUAAAAUAUGAAGCGAAGAGGCUGAGGGAAACAGCUGAGCUUUUCAGAUGAUCCGCAGCAGAAUCUAGUGGGUGUUUCAUUCCUUUCAGUUCCCUCUGAAAACCUUGGCUCGCAGCGACAAGAUCACAUGGGUGCACAAGCCACUGAUUGCACAAUCUUGUUCCGGAAUGCUUCAGAGGCGCUGCGGCUGUUUUUUAAUAUACACUGCCCCCUCUGGCUUCCCUCUUUGCUGCUUCUCUGCUGCUGCCAGGCGCCAACCUCCUGCAGGAAUCAGGGGACAGGGGUGCAGAGGAGGUGGCAGCGGUGUGGCUCUGUGGCUCCGUCACCAGGCCGUGCCGUGGGGGUGGAGAUGGAAGGGUGCUGGUCGGAAAGCUGGCGAGCAGCUGGCAUCACUUCUGGGGCACAGUAAGUGCAAGAAUGCUUUUCUGCCUCCGAGUGCCGUUCCUGCUCCUGCAGCUGGCACUGCGUGGUGAUAGGGUUCACUUUAUUUGACUUCCAUUUAUUUUUGUUU
RNAcentral lists this long non-coding RNA (1058 nucleotides) under Gallus gallus (chicken). Its description in RNAcentral is "lncRNA (ENSGALG00010013631.1)". Lineage: Eukaryota; Metazoa; Chordata; Aves; Galliformes; Phasianidae. The record is from RNAcentral.